This is a non-coding RNA of Malus domestica (apple), 902 nucleotides long. NCBI's taxonomy places the organism in Eukaryota, Viridiplantae, Streptophyta, Magnoliopsida, Rosales, Rosaceae. The record is from RefSeq and is a predicted model, not a curated record.
AUGGAAGGAGAGAUGAAUGGAACGGAGACACUGGCACGGACUCCCAACUGACUACUCCCUUGCUAUCCAAGCAAGAUGGAAAGCCGGACAGUGUUGUUGUUGUUAUACCCAGGAUACCAAGGCCCCUUCAUAGACACAAGGAAACUUUUUCACCCCAUAGUGAGAAAGCAACAAAUGGUUUGCUCCAGGUAUCAGAGGAUAUCGAGGAGGGUGAAGUCAUUGGGAUUAUCACUCUGGAAGAUGUAUUUGAAGAACUCCUGCAGGAGGAGAUUGUGGAUGAAACAGAUGAAUAUGUUGAUGUACAUAAAAGGGAUCAUAGAGUGACAAAAUCAAAUAGUUGGUUGACAUUAUGUACGAAAGUUAUAAUUUGAAAGUGGCUUAAUCUUCUUCUUCCUUGCAGAAUACGUGUCACUGCAGCUGCAGCUGCUUCAUCAGUGGCACGGCUCCAUCGACUCGGAGGUUAAAUGUGAACAAGGGACCUGCCACUGGACAAAAUGCAGGCCAAAAAGUAAGCAAGGACUAACCCUCAAGAAAUCUGCUGAUGAUUGGUCCUCGGCAACAUUGCAACGGACUUCUGGCGUACCCCGUCUUGGAAAUAAGAGAUGAUUCAUCUUGCUCAUUCGUCAUUUCCUGAUCCGGUUGCUCCUCAGGGAAUUGGCUUUGACUUGCAUCUAUGAAAGUUGUUUGUUUUUGUUUUCGAUUUUUGUUCUCUGGGUGGCGGGUAGGUUUCGAGAGGUGGAGUUCUACAUUAGAUUGCAUAGGAGGACAUCAUUGUAAGUUUAGUACCUUACUAAUUAUUUCCACUUGUUUUUUUGGUUCAUAUUAAAUCGAUAGGUCGAGCUGCCUCUUUGGCUGGCUCUACUUUUUGUUUUGUAAACGACGGUAUAUGGAGAAAGUAGUUC